GCGACCCCAGGACGGGCGAGGACACCCGCCGAGUUUAAGCAUAUCAAUAAGCGGAGGAGAAG
Molecule: ribosomal RNA, 62 nt
Filed under: Maxillaria brachybulbon
Lineage: Eukaryota; Viridiplantae; Streptophyta; Magnoliopsida; Asparagales; Orchidaceae
Also listed under: 2 other names
Description: partial 26S ribosomal RNA
Source: RNAcentral